AGAGUUUGAUCAUGGCUCAGAUUGAACGCUGGCGGCAGGCCUAACACAUGCAAGUCGAACGGUAACAGGAAGCAGCUUGCUGCUUUGCUGACGAGUGGCGGACGGGUGAGUAAUGUCUGGGAAACUGCCCGAUGGAGGGGGAUAAUUACUGGAAACGGUAGCUAGUACCGCAUAACGUCGCAAGACCAAAGAGGGGGACCUUAGGGCCUCUUGCCAUCGGAUGUGCCCAGAUGGGAUUAGCUAGUAGGUGGGGUAACGGCUCACCUAGGCGACGAUCCCUAGCUGGUCUGAGAGGAUGACCAGCCACACUGGAACUGAGACACGGUCCAGACUCCUACGGGAGGCAGCAGUGGGGAAUAUUGCACAAUGGGCGCAAGCCUGAUGCAGCCAUGCCGCGUGUAUGAAGAAGGCCUUCGGGUUGUAAAGUACUUUCAGCGGGGAGGAAGGGAGUAAAGUUAAUACCUUUGCUCAUUGACGUUACCCGCAGAAGAAGCACCGG
RNAcentral lists this ribosomal RNA (499 nucleotides) under uncultured bacterium. Its description in RNAcentral is "bacterial SSU rRNA". It matches the Rfam family "Bacterial small subunit ribosomal RNA", at positions 8 to 496 of the family's 1533-position model. The record is from RNAcentral.